Molecule: unclassified non-coding RNA, 398 nt
Filed under: Hevea brasiliensis (rubber tree)
Lineage: Eukaryota; Viridiplantae; Streptophyta; Magnoliopsida; Malpighiales; Euphorbiaceae
Source: RNAcentral
CAGCUACAGCAUUUUCCAACUCAUCUCCUUUAAGAGUUUGUGACAACUCUUCUCUAACAUCAGCCUCCACUUUAGAGACUGACUCUUCUUCUAAAGCCUCUUGAGCCUCUGCAGCCUUACUCUCAGUUUCUAAAAGCUCAGCAAUGAGCUCUUCAAUUUCCUUAUCAGUUAAGGGUUCCUCAGGAAGCGAGUGUUGAUUGUCAUCAUCAUCGUCAUCCAUUAUAGGAUCAUCUGAAUCAUCAUCGUUGAUAAACGAAUCAUCAGAAGGAUCAGAAGAAGCCUUUUCUACAUCUUCUUCUUCCAUUUCAAUGUGUUUUUCUUCUUCAUCUUCCAUCUCCCCUCUUUGUGUGUGUUCGAACUUGGUUUUGAAAAUCGAUACGAAACCAAGGGAAGAACAG